RNAcentral lists this ribosomal RNA (363 nucleotides) under Pseudocoladenia festa. RNAcentral's name for it is "SSU rRNA". It matches the Rfam family "Eukaryotic small subunit ribosomal RNA", at positions 1162 to 1514 of the family's 1831-position model. The record is from RNAcentral. Lineage: Eukaryota; Metazoa; Arthropoda; Insecta; Lepidoptera; Hesperiidae. RNAcentral also lists the same sequence under 1 other name.
GGGCACCACCAGGGGGUGCAGCUGCGGCUUAUUUGACUCAACACGGGAAAUCUCACCAGGCCCGGACACCGGAAGGAUUGACAGAUUAACAGCUCUUUCUUGAUUCGGUGGGUGGUGGUGCAUGGCCGUUCUUAGUUGGUGGAGCGAUUUGUCUGGUUAAUUCCGGUAACGAACGAGACUCUAGCCUGCUAAAUAGGCGUCGUCAUUUAGGUGUGCUCGACUUCGGUCGUGCAACUCACUGGCGACGUAUUAAAAUUCUUCUUAGAGGGACCGGUGGCUUCGAGCCACACGAGAUUGAGCAAUAACAGGUCUGUGAUGCCCUUAGAUGUCCUGGGCCGCACGCGCGCUACACUGAAGGAAUCA